UGGGGAAUUUUGGACAAUGGGGGCAACCCUGAUCCAGCCAUGCCGCGUGCGGGAAGAAGGCCUUCGGGUUGUAAACCGCUUUUAGCCGGGAAGAAAAGGCACUCCUUAAUACGGGGUGUUCUUGACGGUACCGGCGGAAUAAGCACCGGCUAACUACGUGCCAGCAGCCGCGGUAAUACGUAGGGUGCGAGCGUUAAUCGGAAUUACUGGGCGUAAAGCGUGCGCAGGCGGUUCGUUAAGUUCGAUGUGAAAGCCCCGGGCUCAACCUGGGAACUGCAUUGGAAACUGGCGAGCUUGAGUGUGGCAGAGGGGGGUGGAAUUCCGCGUGUAGCAGUGAAAUGCGUAGAGAUGCGGAGGAACACCGAUGGCGAAGGCAGCCCCCUGGGCCAACACUGACGCUCAGGCACGAAAGCGUGGGGAGCAAACAGG
RNAcentral lists this ribosomal RNA (429 nucleotides) under uncultured bacterium. RNAcentral describes it as "bacterial SSU rRNA". It matches the Rfam family "Bacterial small subunit ribosomal RNA", at positions 355 to 776 of the family's 1533-position model. The record is from RNAcentral.